GCUCCUUCUUCUGAACCAGUUCCAUGAUGUGGUGACUGGAAGCUGCAUCCAGAUGGUGGCAGAGGAAGCCAUGUGCCAUUAUGAAGACAUCCGUUCCCAUGGCAAUACACUGCUCAGCGCCGCAGCCGCAGCCCUGUGUGCUGGGGAGCCAGGUCCUGAGGGCCUCCUCAUCGUCAACACACUGCCCUGGAAGCGGACCGAAGUGAUGGCCCUGCCCAAACCAGGCGGGGCCCACAGCCUAGCCCUGGUGACAGUGCCCAGCAUGGGCUAUGCUCCUGUUCCUCCCCCCACCUCACUGCAGCCCCUGCUGCCCCAGCAGCCUGUGUUCGUAGUGCAAGAGGUGAGUCCUGCAUGCCCUGGGGGGCAGGAGCUGUGCUGGGAUACUUUCUUACAACUGAGGGUCCUGAGCUCCCCUGCCUGGAGCAAGUGGUGAGGCGGGGCUGGGGUUGGGGUGGGAAGACUUUUGGUGUGGGAAGCCCCUACAGACUCAGCCUCAAGGCCUCCUCCCACAAAGACUGAUGGCUCCGUGACUCUGGACAAUGGCAUCAUCCGAGUGAAGCUGGACCCAACUGGUCGCCUGACGUCCUUGGUCCUGGUGGCCUCUGGCAGGGAGGCCAUUGCUGAGGGCGCCGUGGGGAACCAGUUUGUGCUAUUUGAUGAUGUCCCCUUGUACUGGGAUGCAUGGGACGUCAUGGACUACCACCUGGAGACACGGUAUAGGCUGGGCAGCAUGUGGUAUAGGCUGGGCAGCAUGUGGGGAUGGUGGAGGUGGUGGGAACACAGGCUGCUCUGGAUC
RNAcentral lists this small RNA (796 nucleotides) under Pan troglodytes (chimpanzee). RNAcentral's name for it is "retained intron". The record is from RNAcentral. Lineage: Eukaryota; Metazoa; Chordata; Mammalia; Primates; Hominidae.